RNAcentral lists this long non-coding RNA (1940 nucleotides) under Anthonomus grandis grandis. RNAcentral describes it as "uncharacterized LOC126734198". Lineage: Eukaryota; Metazoa; Arthropoda; Insecta; Coleoptera; Curculionidae. The record is from RNAcentral.
GCGUUGGGUCCGCGUCUCCUAUUGGUCCAUUUACAAACGACAUUCGAACGGACUACCCGCGUUCCUCGCUUUCGGGCAUCAGGUUCCAACAACUUGUGUUGACGGGUCGCCGCGUGUGAUAUUAUAAGGAUACAACGAACAAAAACGGGUUUUUAACAUCAUGCCUCCUAAAAGGGCACCUUGGUGCGAGGAGGAUUUAAUAUCAGCAGUUCGAUCUGUUCAACGCGGUACUCUGAGUACAUAUGGGGCUGCGGCAAGGUUUAAUAUUCCCAGAAGAACCAUUAGAAAUCAUGUUCAGAAUGGAAUCCUAAUAAAAAGACUAGGCCGUAAAUCUAUUUUAAAAGAAGAACAAGAAGCUGAUCUCGUUAAAAGAAUAAUAAGAUUUAGUGAAAUAGGUCUACCUGUGACUCCACGGAUCCUUCGUCGAUCGGUAUUCAGAUUCCGCGAAGAUAAUAAAAUUGCUCAUCAAUUUAAUACAACUUCAAAACUUGCCGGCAAAGACUGGCUAAAGGCUUUUAUGUAGAGAAAUCCUGUAAUUUCUAAAAGAAAAGCACAGUUUAUGAAUCCAGCUAGGGCUCAAAAACUUAAUAAGUCUUCAAUCAUAUAUCAUUUUUCAAAAAUAGGGAAAAUGUUUGAUGAUCUUGAUAUAAUUAAUCAUCCUGAAAGACUUUAUCAUAUGGAUGAAAAAGGAUGCCGCUAGACUAUUCACCACCAGCCAACCAUUUUAGCUAUGAAAGGGGUAAAACGUGUUCACUUUCAAUCGUCAGAACAUGCAGAGAGUGUGACAAUUGCAGGAUGUGUCAAUGCCCUUGGAAUACCAAUACCUCCUAUGAUUAUUUUUAAAGGAAAGAGGCUAAAGCCAGAAUUACAUGAUAAUUUGCCACCAGGAACUCUAGUGGAAAAAUCAAGUAAAGGCUACAUGACUAACGAUUUUUUUAAAGAAUUCCUCAAGCACUUAGCCAGAUACAAAAGUCCAGGAAGGUGCCUCUUAGUUUUUGAUGGUGCAGCUUGUCAUCUUGAUUUGUCAAUUGUUGAUGUUGGAGACUCACUUGAUAUAGAUCUCUACUGUUUGCCAUCGAAUACAACACAUGAGCUUCAACCCCUCGACAAAUCUGUAUAUCGUUCAUUUGAGCAUCAUUCGCAUAAUGAGGUAUUAUUAUUCUUGGAUCAGAAUCCUAACAAAAAGCUGACCAAAUCACGUUUUAACAUCAUACUUUCAAAUGUUUGGUCUAAAUGCAUGACACAUAGAUGAUACCAACAAAGAAAAUAGGCGUCCACCUGAAUCUCCUCAACCUGGUCCGUCUGGAAUGGCAACCAACAAGUCUGGCAAAUUUUCCUAUUCCAAUGUUUACUCUUCUGACUCGGAUUCGACUGAUGACCAUAUCCCUCUUGCUGAAUUAAAGAGACGAACAACAAAAGUCACUUCUUUUAAUGAGCUUUUGCCCACACCAGUAAAAACUAAUGAAAAACCUAAAAAAAAUCGAAAAAAAGCUCAAAACUACAAAGGAACUCCAGUCACUAGAGAUCUUUUUAUCGAGGAGAACAAAAGUCGUGCCAAAUUGAAUAAAGAUAUUGAAAGCUGCAGGGAAAAGUUAAGUACCGAAUCGUAUUGCCAUGGAUGUGAGGAAGACAGGCAGGCCGAUAUGAGGCAGUGCAGCAAAUGUCAUGUUAAAUGGUACCAUGAGGAAUGUGUUGGCUUAACAGUCAAUGACAUGGAUGAUUUUGAGUGUCCCGAUGGCUGCUAAACUUCGCCCAAUUAACGAGUUGUGCCAUUUUUAUGUAUAGGAUUUAUUAAACCUCCAUCGGAUAAUAAGGCCGAUUUGCGUUAUUUUUCUUAAUAUUUAUUUUUUGUUUUCUAGUUUUUUUAGAGAUUAUUUUUUUAAGUUUGUUAAAAUUAAUAUAACCUUAUAAGCACUUUGGUGUAUUAAACUAAAUAUUAA